AAUUUAAAUAAAAAUUUUAAUUUUAAAUUUUUUAUUAAUUAUUAUGAUUAAAAUAUAUAUAAAAUUAUUUAUAAAAAUUUUUUUUUAUUUAAUAUAAAAUAUUAAAAUAUUAAUGUUAAUUAUAUUUAGUAAUUUAUAUAGUAAUAAUUAAAAAUGUGCCAGCAAUAGCGGUUAAACAUUAAUUACAAAUUAAUAAAUUUUAACUUUAAUUAAAAGUUGAUUAAUUUUUGAAUAUUAUAAAUUUUAAUGUAAAAUUAAAUUUAUAUAAUUUAAAAUUAUUUAAUUAUUUAAAUUUUUUUAAUAAAAAUUUUUAAUAAACUAGGAUUAGAUACCCUAUUAUUAAAUUUAAAUUUAUAGUUAAAUUAUUAAAUGUAAAUUCAUUAAAAUUUAAAAUUUGACGGUAUUUUAUUCUUUUUAGAGGAAUUUGUUUUAUAAUUGAUAAUCCACAAUAAGAUAAACUUAAUUUUUUUUUUAUGUAUGUUUGUUAAAAGAAUUUUUUUUAAAAAUAAAUUCUUAAUUUUAUAAUUUUAAAAAUAUUUCAGAUCAAUAUAUAAUUAUAAUUAAGAAAAUAAUGAAUUAUAUUUUAUUUAAUAAUAAAAAUUUUAUUUUAAUAUAAAAUUUAAUGUUUGAAUUUAAUAGUAAAAUUAAUUAAUUAAUUAAUUUGAAAUAGUUUAAAAUAUGUACAAAUUGCCCGUCACUUUCAUUAAAUUUGAAAUAAGUCGUAACAAAGUAAAUGUACUGGAAAGUGUAUUUAAUU
RNAcentral lists this non-coding RNA (757 nucleotides) under Trichopria drosophilae. The record is from RNAcentral. Lineage: Eukaryota; Metazoa; Arthropoda; Insecta; Hymenoptera; Diapriidae.